GGGUGGAAUUAUUGAAUUGGCCCCAGGGUACUUCCCUGCCGUAUACAGCAGUAUUAAGAAAGCAGGAGGGCUUUGUAUUGCCGAUGAGGUUCAAUUUGGGUUUGCUCACACUGGGAGCCAUUUUUGGAGAUUUGAGACCCAAGGCAUUGUGCUUGACAUAGUGACAAUGGCAAAGGUGAACAAGCUUCAUGAAGUGUGUUGAAGAUUUCAUAGCUAGCGUUUAUCUGCAACUUAACAAGAUUUUUCAAUGCUCAGUGGCUUCGAUUUCUCAAUCUCAAACCUCUAGUGGUCUUCUUUUACUGCGAGUAGUAACACAAGUGAUGAAGACUAAAGAAUUCCUCAACUGAGCAGUGAGUCAACAACCAGAGCGUGAUUCUUGGGAAACUAACAUGGGUAUGGAGAUAGAAGGUGAUGGGGGUGCCUGCAUAUUUUCAACCUGAUCUGGAAGCAGAUCUCGUCUUGCCUCCGGCACCAGCUAGCAGAGUCGACAACCAUGUUCCAACUAGUAUGGUGUUAGAAUUGUAUGAUGCACGAUUCGAUUCAUACAAUUUAAUAUGAGUUUCAACCAAAAUUAUUUGAAUUGUGUUGUUUGAAAAUUUGGUGUGCUGUUGAAUUGAGAAUUGAGUAGUUUAUAGGUUUUUGUUUACAUAAUGUAUUGAAAUGACGCCUUUUUCAACUACUCUAUGAUGAAACAAAAAUAGGGCAAUUGGUUAUACUGAUAUACGUGGUGUUAUAUAUAUAUGUAAUAUAUAAUUUAUUUAUAUUGAUCCUGUGAAGUAUUUGAUUGUGAUUGCUAUAGUGUUCCAACAUAUGUGUGAGGUUUGGAAAUUCCUUUCCAAUAAUUUGGGCUAUAUUUCAUGAUAAGCAUCCGGUGGAUCUUGUAUGAGAAGAGAAAAAGAAAUGGAAGAAAAAGUGGGAAAAAAAAACUUUGUUAAUAGUUUCAUGUGGAAAAAACAUGCAAAGAGUAAACUGCUAAUGCAUGUAUUAUCUUAUGCAAUUUUAUCUUUUCUUUUGUGGAGAUUUUGUUGGAAUUUUGUGUUUCAUUUGUUGUGGCGCAUUAUAGAAACCAAAAACACCCUUUUCAUAGUUUUUAGAUAAUUAGAGAUCGACGAUUCCAACUUUCUUUACUCCAUUCAAAAAGUUGUUCAAAAUAAUUGAUCAAAAUUUCCAAUGAUCCGGUUUGUGCAUGUUAUUCAAAAUAAUGUUACUUUUAGGAGUUGUUAGUUUUUUGUUUGUAUUUUUUUUCCGUUGUGUUUUUGGCGCUAACCCCUUGCAGGCAAUGGCACAUAUAGACAUGGUUAAUCAUUUAAGGUAAUCUCCUUAACUUUUUGAUUUUAUUUUUUACAUUCAGGACAAUGCAUUGUUUAGUUUGGGGGGAGAAAAUACUUAUUUUGAGAAGAAUUUAUAUAUUUGCUUGCAGCUAUGAGUUAGUUAUUU
This is a non-coding RNA of Camellia sinensis, 1437 nucleotides long. The record is from RefSeq and is a predicted model, not a curated record. Lineage: Eukaryota; Viridiplantae; Streptophyta; Magnoliopsida; Ericales; Theaceae.